CUACAGGCUUAACACAUGCAAGUCGAGGGGCAGCAUGGUCUUAGCUUGCUAAGGCCGAUGGCGACCGGCGCACGGGUGAGUAACGCGUAUCCAACCUGCCUUACACUCUUGGACAGCCUUCUGAAAGGGAGAUUAAUACAAGAUGUUAUCAUGAGUAAGCAUUUUCGCAUGAUUAAAGGUUUACCGGUGUAAGAUGGGGAUGCGUUCCAUUAGAUAGUAGGCGGGGUAACGGCCCACCUAGUCUUCGAUGGAUAGGGGUUCUGAGAGGAAGGUCCCCACAUUGGAACUGAGACACGGUCCAAACUCCUACGGGAGGCAGCAGUGAGGAAUAUUGGUCAAUGGACGAGAGUCUGAACCAGCCAAGUAGCGUGAAGGAUGAAGGUUCUAUGGAUUGUAAACUUCUUUUAUACGGGAAUAAACGAAUCCACGUGUGGAUUUUUGCAUGUACCGUAUGAAUAAGGAUCGGCUAACUCCGUGCCAGCAGCCGCGGUAAUACGGAGGAUCCGAGCGUUAUCCGGAUUUAUUGGGUUUAAAGGGAGCGUAGAUGGGUUGUUAAGUCAGUUGUGAAAGUUUGCGGCUCAACCGUAAAAUUGCAAUUGAUACUGGCAGUCUUGAGUACAGUUGAGGUAGGCGGAAUUCGUGGUGUAGCGGUGAAAUGCUUAGAUAUCACGAAGAACUCCGAUUGCGAAGGCAGCUUACUAACCUGUAACUGACAUUGAUGCUCGAAAGUGUGGGUAUCAAACAGGAUUAGAUACCCUGGUAGUCCACACGGUAAACGAUGAAUACUCGCUGUUUGCGAUAUACUGCAAGCGGCCAAGCGAAAGCGUUAAGUAUUCCACCUGGGGAGUACGCCGGCAACGGUGAAACUCAAAGGAAUUGACGGGGGCCCGCACAAGCGGAGGAACAUGUGGUUUAAUUCGAUGAUACGCGAGGAACCUUACCCGGGCUUAAAUUGCAGAUGAAUUACGGUGAAAGCCGUAAGCCGCAAGGCAUCUGUGAAGGUGCUGCAUGGUUGUCGUCAGCUCGUGCCGUGAGGUGUCGGCUUAAGUGCCAUAACGAGCGCAACCCUUGUUGUCAGUUACUAACAGGUUCCGCUGAGGACUCUGACAAGACUGCCAUCGUAAGUUGUGAGGAAGGUGGGGAUGACGUCAAAUCAGCACGGCCCUUACGUCCGGGGCUACACACGUGUUACAAUGGGGGGUACAGAGGGCCGCUACCACGCGAGUGGAUGCCAAUCCCCAAAACCUCUCUCAGUUCGGACUGGAGUCUGCAACCCGACUCCACGAAGCUGGAUUCGCUAGUAAUCGCGCAUCAGCCACGGCGCGGUGAAUACGUUCCCGGGCCUUGUACACACCGCCCGUCAAGCCAUGGGAGCCGGGGGUACCUGAAGUGCGUAACCGCGAGGAGCGCCCUAGGGUAAAACUGGUGACUGGGGCUAAG
Molecule: ribosomal RNA, 1440 nt
Filed under: uncultured organism
Description: SSU rRNA
Rfam family: Bacterial small subunit ribosomal RNA
Source: RNAcentral